RNAcentral lists this unclassified non-coding RNA (520 nucleotides) under uncultured Glomus. Its description in RNAcentral is "SSU rRNA". It matches the Rfam family "Eukaryotic small subunit ribosomal RNA", at positions 569 to 1094 of the family's 1831-position model. The record is from RNAcentral. Lineage: Eukaryota; Fungi; Glomeromycota; Glomeromycetes; Glomerales; Glomeraceae. RNAcentral also lists the same sequence under 1 other name.
AGCAGCCGCGGUAAUUCCAGCUCCAAUAGCGUAUAUUAAAGUUGUUGCAGUUAAAAAGCUCGUAGUUGAAUUUUGGGUUUGGCCGAUUGGUCCGUUCUUGUAGCGAGUACUGGUCGGUUGGGCCUCACCGCUUGGGGAAGCGUAAUGUCCUUUAUUGGGUGUUGCGAAUAUCCAAGACCUUUACCUUGAAAAAAUUAGAGUGUUUAAAGCAGGCAUAUGCCAGAAUACAUUAGCAUGGAAUAAUAGAAUAGGACAAUGAUUCUAUUUUGUUGGUUUCUAGGACCGUUGUAAUGAUUAAUAGGGAUAGUUGGGGGCAUUAAUAUUCAAUUGUCAGAGGUGAAAUUCUUGGAUUUAUUGAAGACUAACUACUGCGAAAGCAUUUGCCAAGGAUGUUUUCAUUAAUCAAGAACGAAAGUUAGGGGAUCGAAGACGAUCAGAUACCGUCGUAGUCUUAACCAUAAACUAUGCCGACUAGGGAUCGGGCGAUGUUGUUUCAAUGACUCGCUCGGCACCUUAUGGG